RNAcentral lists this ribosomal RNA (501 nucleotides) under uncultured bacterium. RNAcentral describes it as "partial 16S ribosomal RNA". It matches the Rfam family "Bacterial small subunit ribosomal RNA", at positions 30 to 523 of the family's 1533-position model. The record is from RNAcentral.
AUUGAACGCUGGCGGCAUGCCUUACACAUGCAAGUCGAACGGCAGCACGGGUGCUUGCGCCUGGUGGCGAGUGGCGAAUGGGUGAGUAAUACAUCGGAGCGUACCUUUUCGCGUGGGAUAACGCAGCGAAAGCUGUGCUAAUACCGCAUACGCCCUGAGGGGGAAAGCGGGGGUUCGACAGACCUCGCGCGAGUAGAGCGUCCGAUGCCUGAUUAGCUUGUUGGUGGGGUAAAAGCCCACCAAGGCGACGAUCAGUAGCUGGUCUGAGAGGACUAUCAGCCACACUGGGACUGAGACACGGCCCAGACUCCUACGGGAGGCAGCAGUGGGGAAUUUUGGACAAUGGGGGCAACCCUGAUCCAGCAAUGCCGCGUGAGUGAAGAAGGCCUUCGGGUUGUAAAGCUCUUUUGUCAGGGAAGAAACACCGGCUCUAACACAGUCCGGGAAUGACGGUACCUGAAGAAUAAGCACCGGCUAACUACGUGCCAGCCGCCGCCGUAA